UGGGGAAUUUUGCACAAUGGGGGAAACCCUGAUGCAGCGACGCCGCGUGAUUUAGAAGGCCUUCGGGUUGUAAAAAUCUUUUUUACGGGAUGAAAAUGACAGUACCGUAAGAAUAAGGUCCGGCUAAAUACGUGCCAGCAGCCGCGGUAAUACGUAUGGACCGAGCGUUGUCCGGAAUCAUUGGGCGUAAAGGGUACGUAGGCGGCCUAGUAAGUUAGAAGUUAAAGAAUAUAGCUCAACUAUAUAAAGCUUUUAAAACUGCUAGGCUUGAGAGAUGGAAGGGAAAGUGGAAUUCCUAGUGUAGCGGUGAAAUGCGCAGAUAUUAGGAAGAAUACCGGUGGCGAAGGCGACUUUCUGGCCAUAAUCUGACGCUGAGGUACGAAAGCGUGGGUAGCAAACAGG
RNAcentral lists this ribosomal RNA (402 nucleotides) under Bacteroidota bacterium. Its description in RNAcentral is "Bacteroidetes bacterium partial 16S ribosomal RNA". It matches the Rfam family "Bacterial small subunit ribosomal RNA", at positions 355 to 776 of the family's 1533-position model. Lineage: Bacteria; Pseudomonadati; Bacteroidota. The record is from RNAcentral.